Molecule: unclassified non-coding RNA, 750 nt
Filed under: Hevea brasiliensis (rubber tree)
Lineage: Eukaryota; Viridiplantae; Streptophyta; Magnoliopsida; Malpighiales; Euphorbiaceae
Source: RNAcentral
CUGCUCCAACAGGUGAGCUUCAUCAUUGUUGCUUUCUUCAUUACUGAAUGGCUUCUCACAGAUGCAAGGAGAUGGAUAUUCAUGGAACUCACCUCGUCCAGGUCUCAUCUCAUCCGGCUGAGAGGGACUCUCUGGCAUGAUUUCACUUUUUUAGCAAAUGUAUCCCAGUCCAUCUUAUCCCUCUCCAUUAACAAUGCACUCAGCCUCUUUGCAUUUGGUCUGAUAGUCCUCUUAUGCCCUGCAUACCUCCUUCGACCUGCAAGAAUCUUGGCCAUGUUUCCAUUAUUAUUGGUGACAAAAACAUCACUUUCAUCACAGACUAUGUAGUCAAUGGCUGCCAGGCGGGAAGAAAAUGGAAGAAAAGGUUUCAGCUCUUCAUUAGCAAGCAUCUCCUUCGUGUAGAAGUUUGGAAACAGUUCUCUAAGCGCAGAGUGUCUUCUCCACCAUAUAUUUCUCCAGAUGCAACAUAGAUAUAUGUGUCAUUAGCAAAUCCAAGAGCACGCAGCAUCAAUCCCACUUCAUGAGGGGUAAGUGGGCAUUUCCCUCUUGCUCGCUCUUCCUCUGCACUUAAAUCUGGUAAUGUUGUCCAUCUCUUUCUUAUUUCACCUAGCUCAAAUUUCUCCUUUUCUCCCCCACCAUAGUAACAUCCAGAAAAUGCAAGCAUAUCAGGUUCAAACCUCAAGUGAAUUGCAAUAAAUUGUUUUGCCAUCUUUCUCAUUUUCAUAACAAGUCUUUGACCAAUAUCUUGUA